RNAcentral lists this non-coding RNA (44 nucleotides) under Thauera sp. 27. Its description in RNAcentral is "Guanidine-II riboswitch aptamer (mini-ykkC)". It matches the Rfam family "Guanidine-II riboswitch aptamer (mini-ykkC)". From Rfam's summary of the family: Simpler in structure and has fewer highly conserved nucleotide positions than the ykkC-yxkD leader. Despite this each of its two stem-loop structures directly bind free guanidine. Therefore, mini-ykkC RNA motif represents a distinct class of guanidine-sensing RNAs. RNAcentral also lists the same sequence under 2 other names. Lineage: Bacteria; Pseudomonadati; Pseudomonadota; Betaproteobacteria; Rhodocyclales; Zoogloeaceae. The record is from Rfam by way of RNAcentral.
CGGGGGACGACCCCCGCGGCACCGAUCCGGGCGGGACGACCCGC